Molecule: ribosomal RNA, 560 nt
Filed under: bacterium
Lineage: Bacteria
Description: bacterial SSU rRNA
Rfam family: Bacterial small subunit ribosomal RNA
Source: RNAcentral
UUGACGGGGGCCCGCACAAGCGGUGGAGCAUGUGGUUUAAUUCGAUGCAACGCGAAGAACCUUACCUGGUCUUGACAUCCACGGAAGUUUUCAGAGAUGAGAAUGUGCCUUCGGGAACCGUGAGACAGGUGCUGCAUGGCUGUCGUCAGCUCGUGUUGUGAAAUGUUGGGUUAAGUCCCGCAACGAGCGCAACCCUUAUCCUUUGUUGCCAGCGGUCCGGCCGGGAACUCAAAGGAGACUGCCAGUGAUAAACUGGAGGAAGGUGGGGAUGACGUCAAGUCAUCAUGGCCCUUACGACCAGGGCUACACACGUGCUACAAUGGCGCAUACAAAGAGAAGCGACCUCGCGAGAGCAAGCGGACCUCAUAAAGUGCGUCGUAGUCCGGAUUGGAGUCUGCAACUCGACUCCAUGAAGUCGGAAUCGCUAGUAAUCGUGGAUCAGAAUGCCACGGUGAAUACGUUCCCGGGCCUUGUACACACCGCCCGUCACACCAUGGGAGUGGGUUGCAAAAGAGGUAGGUAGCUUAACCUUCGGGAGGGCGCUUACCACUUUGUGAUUC